Molecule: ribosomal RNA, 254 nt
Filed under: uncultured bacterium
Lineage: Bacteria
Description: partial 16S ribosomal RNA
Rfam family: Bacterial small subunit ribosomal RNA
Source: RNAcentral
CUUUCUUUGCUGGCGACCGGCGCACGGGUGAGUGACACGUAUCCAACCUGCCCUUUACUCGGGGAUAGCCUUUCGAAAGAAAGAUUAAUACCCGAUAGCAUAAUGAUUCCGCAUGGUUUCAUUAUUAAAGGAUUCCGGUAAAGGAUGGGGAUGCGUUCCAUUAGGUUGUUGGUGAGGUAACGGCCCACCAAGCCUUCGAUGGAUAGGGGUUCUGAGAGGAAGGUCCCCCACAUUGGAACUGAGACACGGUCCAA